UGGGGAACUUUGGACAAUGGGGGCAACCCUGAUCCAGCAAUGCCGCGUGUGUGAAGAAGGCCUUCGGGUUGUAAAGCACUUUUGUCCGGAAAGAAAACGCCGUGGUUAAUACCCGUGGCGGAUGACGGUACCGGAAGAAUAAGCACCGGCUAACUACGUGCCAGCAGCCGCGGUAAUACGUAGGGUGCAAGCGUUAAUCGGAAUUACUGGGCGUAAAGCGUGCGCAGGCGGUCCGCUAAGACAGAUGUGAAAUCCCCGGGCUUAACCUGGGAACUGCAUUUGUGACUGGCGGGCUAGAGUAUGGCAGAGGGGGGUAGAAUUCCACGUGUAGCAGUGAAAUGCGUAGAGAUGUGGAGGAAUACCGAUGGCGAAGGCAGCCCCCUGGGCCAAUACUGACGCUCAUGCACGAAAGCGUGGGGGAGCAAACAGGAUUCAGAUACCCUGGUAGUCCACGCCCUAAACGAUGUCAACUAGUUGUCGGGUCUUCAUUGACUUGGUAACGUAGCUAACGCGUGAAGUUGACCGCCGGGGGAGUACGGUCGCAAGAUU
This 549-nucleotide ribosomal RNA is filed under the name uncultured bacterium. Its description in RNAcentral is "partial 16S ribosomal RNA". It matches the Rfam family "Bacterial small subunit ribosomal RNA", at positions 355 to 895 of the family's 1533-position model. The record is from RNAcentral.